Molecule: long non-coding RNA, 1224 nt
Filed under: Nicotiana benthamiana
Lineage: Eukaryota; Viridiplantae; Streptophyta; Magnoliopsida; Solanales; Solanaceae
Description: long non-coding RNA (NBEN_LNC023031)
Source: RNAcentral
AUAAUUUCUUCAAAGAAGCAAUUGGCUUUAUCAAAUUAACGGCCUGCAAAUCAAUGAAAAAAUGAACUAAUACUACCUGUUUACAGAGGAAAUCAGCAUGUCACUGGUGUAUGUUAGAUAUGCAUAAGUUUGUGGUCAUUACCUCUCUUAAGAUUCCAUGAAGAUUGAAUGUUCCAUUUUCUAGUUCAAGAAUACCAUCUUCAAGUCUGGAAAGAUCUAGCACAUCAUUAAUCAGUGUUGCCAGAAGAUUGCUACUCUUCAGUAUGGUCUCAAUCAUAACUCUCUGCUCUGGAGUUAAGUCUGUUUCUAAAAGCAGAGAGCACAAAGCAAUAACUGCAUGCAUAGGUGUUCUCAUUUCAUGGUUCAUCACAGCUAAGAAGUCGUUACGAGCGCGGAUGGCCAUCUCUGCUUCUUGACGAGCUACAUCCAAAGCAAUAUUCUGUUCCAUGAGCUGAUCAUGGGCACGCAUGGACUCUUCUAAAAUUGCAGCAUGUGAAAGAGCGACAGCAACCUGAUAACCGAUUGCACUUAAAAUGAGAACUCUAAUUCAAAAAUGAAAUAGACAAGUUCUAAUUUGUGUUCAUGAGAAAAAGAAUAGCAACCUUGUUCUGAUAGGUUUGCUAUCAAGCGAUUGCACUUACUAACAGUGACCAUAUUCUAAUUCAAAAAGAAAGGGACAAAUUAUAAUUUGUGUUCUUGACAAAACAAUAUUUAGCAACCUUGUUCUGUUACGGUAGCUAAUACAUUAACUUUGGAAAGCAAGGGCAAUGAUUGAAGUAUUGAACAUUAAACCAGCAUAAAUUUAACACUCUCUCCAUCCCAAUUUAUGUGGCACUGUUUGACUAGGCAUGAAGUUUAAGAAAGAAAGGAAGACUUUUGAAACUUGUGGCCUGUGAUUAUAAAUCAUCUAACUAAGUGUUAACGAAAAAUUUUAAAGUAAAUUCUUUCUGAAAAUAUACAACGGUGACAUUCUUUUUAGGACGGACUAAAAACUAAAGAGAGCAGCUAUUUCUGCACCUAAACAUCCUUAUCCACACUGCAAUUAAUGCAACCACCAGUGUAGACAAAAUCCCUCGUGAUGAUUACAGAAUGAAAUAAUCGUUCUAGAGUUCCCAAUUUAUGCUCCACUAUUCCUUUUUGUUUCAAAAUAAAUUAAAAAGAGGUAAGAAAAAGAUACGGAAACUCAUCUCCUACCUCACUAAAUCUCUUCGGUUUGUCUUCUUU